UUCCGGUUGAUCCUGCCGGAGGCUACUGCUAUCGGGGUUCGAUUAAGCCAUGCAAGUUAAAUGUUCUUCGUGAACAUAGCGAACUGCUCAGUAACACGUGGAUAACCUACCCUUGGGACCGGAAUAACCCCGGGAAACUGGGGAUAAUACCGGAUAAAUCAUAGAUGCUGGAAUGCCCUAUGGUUCAAAGCUCCGGCGCCUAAGGAUGGAUCUGCGGUCUAUCAGGUUGUAGUGGGUGUAACGUACCUACUAGCCAACGACGGAUACGGGUUGUGAGAGCAAGAGCCCGGAGAUGGAUUCUGAGACACGAAUCCAGGCCCUACGGGGUGCAGCAGGCGCGAACACUUUACAAUGCGGGAAACCGCGAUAAGGGAACCCCGAGUGCCAGCAUCAAAUGUUGGCUGUCCGGAUGAUUAAAAAUCAUUUGUUAGCAAGGGCCGGGCAAGACCGGUGCCAGCCGCCGCGGUAACACCGGCGGCCCGAGUGGUAGCCGUUUUUAUUGGGUCUAAAGGGUCCGUAGCCGGCCUGAUAAGUCCUUUGGGAAAUCUGACAGCUUAACUGUCAGGCUUCUAAGGGAUACUGUCAGGCUUGGGACCGGAAGAGGUAAGGGGUACUCCAGGGGUAGGAGUGAAAUCUUGUAAUCCCUGGGGGACCAUCUGUGGCGAAGGCGCCUUACCAGAACGGGUCCGACGGUGAGGGACGAAAGCUAGGGGAGCAAACCGGAUUAGAUACCCGGGUAGUCCUAGCUGUAAACGAUGCUCGCUAGGUGUCAGACACGGUGCGACCGUGUUUGGUGCCGCAGGGAAGCCGUUAAGCGAGCCACCUGGGAAGUACGGUCGCAAGGCUGAAACUUAAAGGAAUUGGCGGGGGAGCACUACAACGGGUGG
Molecule: ribosomal RNA, 887 nt
Filed under: archaeon enrichment culture clone AOM-SR-A14
Lineage: Archaea
Description: bacterial SSU rRNA
Rfam family: Archaeal small subunit ribosomal RNA
Source: RNAcentral